GCUGUCUAUAGGCGGCUUGUGUUAACCAGC
This 30-nucleotide non-coding RNA is filed under the name Homo sapiens (human). Lineage: Eukaryota; Metazoa; Chordata; Mammalia; Primates; Hominidae. The record is from RNAcentral.